AGGAUUUGAGCGUCUGACUGUGGACACAGAGCUCAAUAAACUAACAGUAUCUGGCACUAUGGACCCGGUCAAGGUGGUGAACAAACUGACGAAACUGCACGCAGAAAUGAUGAGCUUCGGAGCAGCCAAGGAAGACGAUGGCAAGAAAGAAGGGGGAAAGAAGAACGAAGAUCAAGUCGCCAGUCAGGUAAAAGCCUCUCAAGCAUACUAUCCUGGACAGGCCAGUGCUCUUCGGCUCCUUGAUCUCCUUUUUUCACUCCUACACUUCGAACCUACCCGAUGAUCAUUCUCCAAUCAAUCCUAAAUGUGCAAAAAAGAUUGACUAUUCCCGAAGAUAAAUUUGGAAUCUCCGUUGAUUUUGUCGCCUAUACAAACGGAUCUCCAGUUUCCAGAAGUAGCGUUCUUCGGUUUAAGGAAAGUAGCUUGUGUUCACAACGAUUAUCAAUCAGAAGCUUUCUUGCAAAACUGUCCUUCAGAUUGGCAAUUUAAUCAUCACUUUCUAUAUUUGAAAUCCUAGACAGAUUACUAGUUGUGUUGUUCAAAAUAGUGGCGCUUGCGUCUGAAUGUUUAUGUGGGAGUUGAUCUUCGGAUUCUGAUGUUGUUUCACUGUAGUGGACUCUGUAAAUAUUUCAAGGUUUUGAAUAUCUCCGCAUAUGAGAUUUGCCGAUAUCCAUAUGGUCAAUAUCCAUGAUGUUGUUGAGAUGCUAUCCAAAGAUAUUUGAACAACAACAGAAGGGUUCUGAAAAAUGUCAAGAUAUUGACUUCUCUUCAUGGUCUCCAUAUUCAAAGAGCAGUUGAUUGAAUCUGAAACAACUUCUCUUCAUUAGUAGUUCCUGUAAGAUGAUACCGUUAUGCACGUAUCAGAUUCAAGACGAACCAAAGAAGAUUUUAUCAAUUUCAAAAUUUUAUUAAUAGGUUUUCUCAAUAGUAAUUGUUAAUCGUAUAGCAUGAUGGUCUCUACUCGUGUGAAUAAUAAUUGUAGGAAUGUCAAAUGAUGCUUCAAAUUCUUAUCCAUUAUUGAUUACAUAUGGCCAAGUUGUUUAAACGCUAGUCUGUCACACCACAUCUGAUCGUCUGAGUUCAGUAGUCGUAAAAGAUUGAUAUUUACUCGAAAUCUAACUGGGUUUUGCUUUCCUCAAACUUUUGCAGAAGUUGGUGGUGAAAGUGGAUCUAGGUGAUGAGGAAGACAGGAGAAAGGCCGAGCGAGUAGUUCCGCGUAUUGCAGGUAUUGGCCCUCUCCCUCUCUGUCUUUUCCCUUCAUUCUCCCACUGAAUGUUUAAAUCGUCACUGUGAUAGUAGUCAUCUUGUGCUCGAAGUGUUCGGCUUCACUAACCUUUGUCACGUAAUGCUUUCCAGGAUUUGAGCGUCUGGCUGUGGGCAUAAAGCACACCAAACUAACAGUAUCUGACACUCUGGACCCAGUCGAGGUGGUUAACAAACUGACGAAACUGCACGCAGAAAUGGUGAGCUUCGGAGCAGCCAAGGAAGACGAUGGCAAGAAAGAAGGGGGAAAGAAGAACGAAGAUCAAGUCGCCAGUCAGGUAAAAGCCUCUCAGGCAUACUAUCCUGGACAGGCCAGUGCUCUUCGGCUUCUUGAACUCCUUUUUUCACUCCUACACUUCCAACCUACCCGAUGAUCAUUCUCCAAUCAACCCUAAAUGUGCAAAAAUGAUUAACUAGCCCCUGAGAUAAAUUUUGAAUCUCUGUUGAUUUUAUCGCCUAUACAAACGGAUCUCCAGUUUCCAGAAGUAGAGUUCUUCAGUUUAAGGAAAGUAGCUUGUGUUCAUAACGAUUAUCAAUCAGAAGCUUUCUUGCAAAACUGUCCUUAAGAUUGGCAAUUUAAUCAUCACUUUCUAUAUUUGAAAUCCUAGACAGAUUACUAGUUGUGUUGUUCAAAAUAGUGGCGCUUGCGUCUGAAUGUUUAUGUGGGCGUUGAUCUUCAGAUUGUGAUGUUGUUCCACUAUAGUGGACUCUGUAAAUAUUUCAAGGUUUUGACGAUCUCCGCGUAUAAGAUUUGCCGAUAUCCAUAUGGUCAAUAUCCAUGAUGUUGUUCAGAUGCUAUCCAAAGAUAUUUGAACAACAACAGAAGGUUCUGAAAAAUGUCAAGAUAUUGACUUCUCUUCAUGGUCUCCAUNNNNNNNNNNNNNNNNNNNNNNNNNNNNNNNNNNNNNNNNNNNNNNNNNNNNNNNNNNNNNNNNNNNNNNNNNNNNNNNNNNNNNNNNNNNNNNNNNNNNCUUAUCAGAUUCAAGAUGAACCAAGGAAAAUUUUAACAAUUUCAAAAUUUUAUUAAUAGGUUUUCUCAAUAGUAAUUGUUAAUCGUAUAGCAUGAUGGUCUCUACUCGUGUGAAUAAUAAUUGUAGGAAUAUCAAAUGAUGCUUCAAAUUCUUAUCCAUUAUUGAUUACAUAUGCCCAUGUUGUUUAAACGCUAGUCUGUCACACCACAUGUGAUCGUCUGAGUUCAGUAGUCGUAAAAGAUUGAUAUUUACUCGAAAUCUAACUGGGUUUUGCUUUCCUCAAACUUGUGCAGAAGUUGGUGGUGAAAGUGGAUAAAGGUGAUGAGGAAGACAGGACAAAGGCCAAGCGAGUAGUUUGGCAUAUUGCAGGUAUUGGCCCUCUACCUCUCUGUUUUUUCCCUUCAUUCUCCCACUGAAUGUUGAAAUCGUCACUGUGAUAGUAAUCAUCCUGUGCUCGAAAUGUUUGGCUUCGCUAACCUUUGUCACGUAAUGCUUUCCAGGAUUUGAGCGUCUGACUGUGGACACAGAGCUCAAUAAACUAACAGUAUCUGGCACUAUGGACCCGGUCAAGGUGGUGAACAAACUGACGAAACUGCACGCAGAAAUGAUGAGCUUCGGAGCAGCCAAGGAAGACGAUGGCAAGAAAGAAGGGGGAAAGAAGAACGAAGAUCAAGUCGCCAGUCAGGUAAAAGCCUCUCAAGCAUACUAUCCUGGACAGGCCAGUGCUCUUCGGCUCCUUGAUCUCCUUUUUUCACUCCUACACUUCGAACCUACCCGAUGAUCAUUCUCCAAUCAAUCCUAAAUGUGCAAAAAAGAUUGACUAUUCCCGAAGAUAAAUUUGGAAUCUCCGUUGAUUUUGUCGCCUAUACAAACGGAUCUCCAGUUUCCAGAAGUAGCGUUCUUCGGUUUAAGGAAAGUAGCUUGUGUUCACAACGAUUAUCAAUCAGAAGCUUUCUUGCAAAACUGUCCUUCAGAUUGGCAAUUUAAUCAUCACUUUCUAUAUUUGAAAUCCUAGACAGAUUACUAGUUGUGUUGUUCAAAAUAGUGGCGCUUGCGUCUGAAUGUUUAUGUGGGAGUUGAUCUUCGGAUUCUGAUGUUGUUUCACUGUAGUGGACUCUGUAAAUAUUUCAAGGUUUUGAAUAUCUCCGCAUAUGAGAUUUGCCGAUAUCCAUAUGGUCAAUAUCCAUGAUGUUGUUGAGAUGCUAUCCAAAGAUAUUUGAACAACAACAGAAGGGUUCUGAAAAAUGUCAAGAUAUUGACUUCUCUUCAUGGUCUCCAUAUUCAAAGAGCAGUUGAUUGAAUCUGAAACAACUUCUCUUCAUGAGUAGUUCCUGUAAGAUGAUACCGUUAUGCACGUAUCAGAUUCAAGACGAACCAAAGAAGAUUUUAUCAAUUUCAAAAUUUUAUUGAUAGGUUUUCUCAAUAGUAAUUGUUAAUCGUAUAGCAUGAUGGUCUCUACUCGUGUGAAUAAUAAUUGUAGGAAUAUCAAAUGAUGCUUCAAAUUCUUAUCCAUUAUUGAUUACAUAUGGCCAAGUUGUUUAAACGCUAGUCUGUCACACCACAUGUGAUCGUCUGAGUUCAGUAGUCGUAAAAGAUUGAUAUUUACUCGAAAUCUAACUGGGUUUUGCUUUCCUCAAACUUUUGCGGAAGUUGGUGGUGAAAGUGGAUAUAGGUGAUGAGGAAGAUAGGACAAAGGGAAAGCGAGUAGUUUGGC
Molecule: long non-coding RNA, 3948 nt
Filed under: Eucalyptus grandis
Lineage: Eukaryota; Viridiplantae; Streptophyta; Magnoliopsida; Myrtales; Myrtaceae
Description: long non-coding RNA (EGRA_LNC002597)
Source: RNAcentral